CCGGCGCACGGGUGAGUAACGCGUAUGCAACUUACUAUCAGGAGGGGGAUAACCGGCGAAAGUCGGACUAAUACCGCAUAAAGCAGGGAUCCCGCAUGGGAAUAUUUGCUAAAGAUUCAUCGCUGAUAGAUAGGCAUGCGUUCCAUUAGGCAGUUGGCGGGGUAACGGCCCACCAAACCGACGAUGGAUAGGGGUUCUGAGAGGAAGGUCCCCCACAUUGGUACUGAGACACGGACCAA
RNAcentral lists this ribosomal RNA (239 nucleotides) under uncultured bacterium. RNAcentral's name for it is "partial 16S ribosomal RNA". It matches the Rfam family "Bacterial small subunit ribosomal RNA", at positions 95 to 334 of the family's 1533-position model. The record is from RNAcentral.